ACGGCCAUAUCACGUUGAAACACCGGUUUACGUACGAUCACAGAAGUUAAGCAAUGUCGAGUCCGCUCAGUACCUUGAUGGGUGAGCGCUUAGGAA
This is a non-coding RNA of Acanthosepion pharaonis, 96 nucleotides long. The record is from the annotation of a GenBank genome assembly. Lineage: Eukaryota; Metazoa; Mollusca; Cephalopoda; Sepiida; Sepiidae.